GACAGAGGAUGCAAGCGUUAUCCGGAAUUAUUGGGCGUAAAGAGCUCGUAGGCGGCUUGUCACGUCGGGUGUGAAAGCCCGGGGCUUAACCCCGGGUCUGCAUUCGAUACGGGCAGGCUAGAGUGUGGUAGGGGAGAUCGGAAUUCCUGGUGUAGCGGUGAAAUGCGCAGAUAUCAGGAGGAACACCGGUGGCGAAGGCGGAUCUCUGGGCCAUUACUGACGCUGAGGAGCGAAAGCGUGGGGAGCGAACAGG
Molecule: ribosomal RNA, 253 nt
Filed under: uncultured bacterium
Lineage: Bacteria
Description: partial 16S ribosomal RNA
Rfam family: Bacterial small subunit ribosomal RNA
Source: RNAcentral